GUGCCCAUGGCUCAAAGGAGCAGGGCGCCGGCCCCAUAUGCCGGAGGUAGUGGGUUCAAGCCCCAUUGGGCCA
This 73-nucleotide transfer RNA is filed under the name Otolemur garnettii (small-eared galago). It matches the Rfam family "tRNA". From Rfam's summary of the family: Transfer RNA (tRNA) molecules are approximately 80 nucleotides in length. Their secondary structure includes four short double-helical elements and three loops (D, anti-codon, and T loops). Lineage: Eukaryota; Metazoa; Chordata; Mammalia; Primates; Galagidae. The record is from Rfam by way of RNAcentral.